This 450-nucleotide long non-coding RNA is filed under the name Mus caroli (Ryukyu mouse). Its description in RNAcentral is "predicted gene 16120 (MGP_CAROLIEiJ_G0003800.1)". Lineage: Eukaryota; Metazoa; Chordata; Mammalia; Rodentia; Muridae. The record is from RNAcentral.
AUCCCUUCAGGACGUUGUAAUACCCCAAUGUGAUGACCUUACUCUCAAACAGGCUACUGCAGCCACCUCUGUGGGAGUUAAGGAAAAGUCGUAUCUAUCACCAACACUUCAGAAGAAGAAGGCUGUCUCACCAUCCUCACUUCUGGCCAUAAAACAUCUCCCUUAAUUCUGUCCCAUGUUAAAGUUCCAUCACACCAAUGAGAAUAUCAAGAAACAUCACACAAUACAGAAAACAACAUGGAGCCCACAGAGAAGAAGCAAACACAAUCCAAGCCCACCCCACCCCUACUCCAUCAAUCAGCUCUGGGGUUAGAGAGAGCUGCCACAGGAAGACAGCUGCGGAAUAUGAACCGGAUGGAGCUCACCACAGCCUCUCCUUGCCCUUCCAGCCUCCAGGAUGGUAACAGACAGGUUUCUGUGGAGUGUAAGCUGACAAGAUUAAUGCAGAUU